Molecule: ribosomal RNA, 253 nt
Filed under: uncultured bacterium
Lineage: Bacteria
Description: partial 16S ribosomal RNA
Rfam family: Bacterial small subunit ribosomal RNA
Source: RNAcentral
UACGGAGGAUGCAAGCGUUAUCCGGAUUGAUUGGGCGUAAAGCGUCCGCAGGUGGCUAUGUAAGUCUGCUGUUAAAGAGUGAGGCUCAACCUCAGAAGAGCAGUGGAAACUACAUGGCUAGAGUGCGUUCGGGGCAGAGGGAAUUCCUGGUGUAGCGGUGAAAUGCGUAGAGAUCAGGAAGAACACCAGUGGCGAAGGCGCUCUGCUAGGCCGUAACUGACACUGAGGGACGAAAGCUAGGGGAGCGAAUGGG